Long non-coding RNA from Rhinopithecus roxellana (golden snub-nosed monkey), 635 nucleotides. RefSeq lists it as uncharacterized. The record is from RefSeq and is a predicted model, not a curated record. The transcript has 3 exons. Lineage: Eukaryota; Metazoa; Chordata; Mammalia; Primates; Cercopithecidae.
UGUGGGUGUGUGGAAAGAGCACCUCAGGUCUCUUCUCAUUUCCAGCAUACAAUACAGUGUGAUUCACUGUCGUCCUCAUGUUGUACGUUAGGUCUCUAGACUUACUCGUCUUAUGUAACUGCAGCUUCGUACCUUUUGACCUGCAUCUCGCCCUCCUCCACCCCCUGCCUCUGGAACCCCGCACUCCUGGGAAAAGGCUUUGAGGAUCUCCCCAUCGGAAGGAAACAGAGGGAUGACAGGAGCAGGGAGUCACCAGAAGGAGGAGACCUGCCAGGCAGCCGUUGUAUACGGAGGGGAUGGGACCCAGCAUGGGGAACAGAAAGGAGGCAGAACUGCUUCUCAGAGUUCUUCCAAAAGAUGUCAGGAAAUCACCCACUGGCUUAUCCUGAGCUGGCUCUAGGGAGCUGGGAUCAUGCUGGAAUGAUGGCAGCUCCAGUUGAAGUUCGUGGUUGGAGCAGAAGGAAUAAUCCCUAGGAGACGGCAGGUCGUCUUCCCAGAAGGCAGUGAGUCGCACAGACAGAAGAGCCAUCUUGAAGUAGAAGUUGUCAUUUCAGUUUGUAGAAUGCAGUCUGAAGCCUCUGUCUACCACAGGGUAUUGGGGGCCCCUCAAAAAUGCCUUUCUGCCCCAUCUUUCA